Molecule: ribosomal RNA, 253 nt
Filed under: uncultured bacterium
Lineage: Bacteria
Description: partial 16S ribosomal RNA
Rfam family: Bacterial small subunit ribosomal RNA
Source: RNAcentral
UACGUAGGUGGCAAGCGUUGUCCGGAUUUAUUGGGCGUAAAGCGCGCGUAGGCGGCCCGGUAAGUCCGUUGUGAAAGUCAAAGGCUCAACCUUUGAACGCCGAUGGAUACUGCCGGGCUAGAGUCCGGAAGAGGCGAGUGGAAUUCCUGGUGUAGCGGUGGAAUGCGCAGAUAUCAGGAGGAACACCAAUAGCGAAGGCAGCUCGCUGGGACGGUACUGACGCUGAGGCGCGAAAGCGUGGGGAGCGAACAGG